RNAcentral lists this ribosomal RNA (499 nucleotides) under uncultured bacterium. RNAcentral's name for it is "bacterial SSU rRNA". It matches the Rfam family "Bacterial small subunit ribosomal RNA", at positions 23 to 518 of the family's 1533-position model. The record is from RNAcentral.
GUCAGGAUGAACGCUAGCGGCAGGCUUAACACAUGCAAGUCGAGGGGCAUCGGGAGUAGCAAUACUGCCGGCGACCGGCGCAAGGGUGCGUAACGCGUGAGCAACAUGCCCGUAUCAGGGGGAUAAUCCAUGGAAACGUGGUCUAAUACCCCAUAGUAAUUAUGUAAGGCAUCUUAUAUAAUUUAAAGCUUUGGUGGAUACGGAUUGGCUCGCGUGACAUUAGCUGGAUGGUAAGGUAACGGCUUACCAUGGCUACGAUGUCUAGGGGUUCUGAGAGGAAGGUCCCCCACACUGGAACUGAGACACGGUCCAGACUCCUACGGGAGGCAGCAGUGAGGAAUAUUGGACAAUGGAUGGAAAUCUGAUCCAGCCACGCCGCGUGCAGGAAGACGGCCCUAUGGGUUGUAAACUGCUUUUGUAUGGGAGCAAUAAGGGCUACGUGUAGUCCGAUGAGAGUACCAUACGAAUAAGCACCGGCUAACUCCGUGCCAGCCGCCGC